This 476-nucleotide long non-coding RNA is filed under the name Mytilus galloprovincialis (Mediterranean mussel). Lineage: Eukaryota; Metazoa; Mollusca; Bivalvia; Mytilida; Mytilidae. The record is from RNAcentral.
GGGCGAGUUUGCUGGAGAAAAAUUAACGGCAUUUAACCAUUUUCACAAAGGGGCGAGUUGGUAAACUAGUUUGAGGCAAGAUUUUUUUUUAAAUGUGGCGAGUUGGUAAAAAAGUGGGGCGAUUUGACCUGCUCCCAUGAAGUAGAUGUUCCUACACGACCUGUGUCGGACUAAUCGGUCGUCGGGCUAUUGCAGUGUCAAACUAAAAGAGUGUGGAGUAGUUGGAAUUAAGAGGAGACCUAGCUGGCCUUAGUGAAUGCGUGACGCUCACCACCGACGUGACACCCGAACUUUUACACAGCAGAAAAUAGUAAAAUAGAAAGCUUGAGGCCAUGGAUAGACUUUCAACACAACUCCUCCUAUACACUCUAUAGUGUCAAAUAGAGCUGAUGGGCUGGCACAGCUUAAACAUUGAAAGAUGAACGUUAUUAAAUGAAAAUCAAAAUGUAAAAUUUUCAUUCAUGCUUUUACCCACC